This is an RNA transcript of Solanum lycopersicum (tomato), 1891 nucleotides long. It is a transcript of the gene named protein MITOFERRINLIKE 1, chloroplastic, with no coding region annotated. NCBI's taxonomy places the organism in Eukaryota, Viridiplantae, Streptophyta, Magnoliopsida, Solanales, Solanaceae. The record is from RefSeq and is a predicted model, not a curated record.
AAUAAGUGGGCUAAAAUGAAGUAUCGAAGCCCAUCCAAAGGUGCAUCUAAGAACCUCACAUCUCGUACCCACCAACAGGUUUUGUCUUUCCAUUUCCUUCAUCACAUCCAAAACUAUGCGCCAAAGCCAAAAAUCAGUGAAAAAAUAGCCAUGGAAACUCGAAUUGGCAACUCCCUUAGCCUCCUUCUACGAGACCCCAAUGACCUCAAAACUGACUUCAACUCCCUCUUCAACAAUCUCAACACUUCCCUUUUUUCCACCCCAAUUCUACAUCACAAGAACCCCAAAUCAACAAAUCAUCAUUUCAGUCCCAAUUUCAAGUUUUGUUCAACUUCUGUUUCAAUUGAAGCACAAAUCAAGAACCCCACUUCGAAUUUUCUAAAACCUGCUACUAGGGACUCCUCAAAAGUUCAGGUUCUGUUCAAGAAUCUUUCUGUUGUUGAAAGAGCGCUUAUUGGUGCAGCUGGUGGUGGCAUUGCUGGUGCAUUCACGUAUGUAUGUCUUCUUCCUCUUGACACAAUCAAAACUAAGCUUCAAACUAAAGGGGCAUCGGAAAUUUACAGUGGAGCUAUUGAUGCUUUUGUCAAGACUUUUCAAAGUAAGGGGAUUCUUGGGUUUUACAGUGGUAUUUCAGCUGUAAUUGUUGGGUCUACUGCUUCUUCUGCUGUGUAUUUUGGGACUUGUGAGUUUGGAAAGUCAAUCUUGUCGAAAUUUCCGCAAUACCCAUCUGUGCUUAUCCCACCAACAGCUGGUGCAAUGGGGAAUAUAGUAUCAUCUGCUAUAAUGGUGCCGAAGGAGUUGAUUACUCAGAGAAUGCAGGCUGGGGCUAAAGGGAGGUCUUGGCAGGUGUUAAUGAGAAUCUUGGAAAAAGAUGGAAUUUUGGGGUUGUAUGCUGGAUAUAGUGCUACAUUGUUGAGGAAUUUGCCUGCUGGGGUUUUGAGUUAUUCAUCAUUUGAGUACUUGAAAGCCGCAGUAUUGAGUAAUGUGAAGAAGGAACGUUUGGAGCCAUUUCAGAGUGUUUGUUGUGGGGCAUUGGCUGGUGCAAUAUCAGCUUCACUAACAACCCCUUUGGAUGUGGUGAAGACUAGGUUGAUGACUCAAGUUCAUUCUGAAGCUGCCAAUAAGGUUGGUGCUGUAAUGGUUACUGGCGUCUCAGCUACUGUUAGACAGAUAUUGACGGAAGAAGGCUGGGUUGGAUUUACGCGGGGAAUGGGUCCUAGAGUACUUCAUAGUGCUUGUUUUUCAGCUCUCGGGUACUUUGCAUUUGAGACGGCUAGGCUUACAAUUUUGGAUCAGUAUUUGAAGCAUAAGGAGCUAGAGACUCUGGUUCCUGAGGAGGAUGCAACCCAGGCCAACUAGAAUGUAUGAGUAAUGGUUCUUACAUCCAGCUGUUACAACCUUUUGCAGUAACUGUGGUGGUUUUAUCCUGCAUAUCAUACAACAUCUUCAAUCAUGACAUGGAAUGCACAAACUUCCUCCAAAAGCAGCAGAUGCAUUGAACGAAGCAGUAGCCCUGUUCGGGACUUCUCUCUUCAGUUCCCAUGCCUGUCAUCGGCAGCAAGAAUCCUACCUUGUAAUUCCUGUAACUAGUUCAGAGACAUAGCCAUUUUACGUCAAUGAAUAGUAUACAAUAAAUAAUCAUAUCGGAAAGAGUAUCUUUCCCUAGGUAAAAGCUCAUAGUUGUGCUCCCUCCUUGGACUAAAUUUUCAUCUUUAGAAAAGCUUCCAUGCUGAUUGUAUUUAAGUCAAGAAAAAAGGCUUGUUUGUUGCUCCAAAAUACCAACAUUUUCAGUAGUUCCAUCGAUGAAGAAUUUUUGUGUGUCACACCUGAACAAGUGAUGCUCUUACAAGCAGCUACCUUCUUCUGUCAAUUCAACAAUGACUUUCUUGGA